Molecule: ribosomal RNA, 484 nt
Filed under: uncultured bacterium
Lineage: Bacteria
Description: partial 16S ribosomal RNA
Rfam family: Bacterial small subunit ribosomal RNA
Source: RNAcentral
AUUGAACGCUGGCGGCAUGCUUUACACAUGCAAGUCGAACGGCAGCGCGGGCUUCGGCCUGGCGGCGAGUGGCGAACGGGUGAGUAAUGCAUCGGAACGUGCCCAGUAGUGGGGGAUAGCCCGGCGAAAGCCGGAUUAAUACCGCAUACGACCUGAGGGUGAAAGCGGGGGACCGAAAGGCCUCGCGCUAUUGGAGCGGCCGAUGUCGGAUUAGCUAGUUGUUGGGGGAAAGGCUUACCAAGGCGACGAUCCGUAGCUGGUCUGAGAGGACGACCAGCCUCACUUGGACUGAGACACGGCCCAGACUCCUACGGGAGGCAGCCGUGGGGAAUUUUCGACACUGGGGGCAACCCUGAUCCAGCCAUGCCGCGUGCGGGAAGAAGGCCUUCGGGUUGUAAACCGCUUUUGUUCGGGAAGAAAUCCUCUGGGCUAAUACCCCGGGGGGAUGACGGUACCGGACGAAUAAGCACCGGCUAACUACGUG